This 3145-nucleotide long non-coding RNA is filed under the name Cucumis sativus (cucumber). RNAcentral's name for it is "long non-coding RNA (CSAT_LNC001484)". The record is from RNAcentral. Lineage: Eukaryota; Viridiplantae; Streptophyta; Magnoliopsida; Cucurbitales; Cucurbitaceae.
AAAUGAUUCAAAUCAAAUAAAUAAAGGAAAGAUAUGAAGAAAAGGAAAGAAGAAGAGGGCUACUUCACAGUUCAAUCUAUUAUGUAGAACCUGUGCCCUAUAAACAACAACACCAAGUGGUUAGUAUCUUCUUGGUAAAUUUAGGUUGGUUUUAGUUAAAUCAUUUUGUUGUUUGUUUUCUUCCAAAUUUACUCCAUAUAUUUUUCUUCAUUUUCUACUCUGUUUUGCAUAUUGUAUAAGUAUACAAUACAUAAAUGUAUUCCAAGUCAAAUUUCCAUACAAACAAACCCUAAGCUUAUCUUUAAAUUUAAUUUUGCUAAACACUAACUUAAACAUAGGAGGUUCUAUGACAAGCACGACAUCAUUAUUUUCUUCUUGCAAAUCGUUUUCACUUUUUCAAAUUAUAAAUUUAUUGCUGAAGGUAUGUAAAGGUCAAUGAAUCCUCUUAUUCAGAUUUUGCCAUCAACUUACGCAUAUGGACAUUAGCUUCAAAUUACAUUUUUGUUAUUUUUUUUCUCUCUCUUUUCGUUAGCUUAAUAUGGGUUUCUUUCUAAUCAUAAAACUCGAACUAAUUACAUUUCACUGUGAUUGUUUUAUAAAAAAAAAAAAAACCAUAGAAAAAGAUGUUCAUAUAUAUAUAUAGUUAACAAAGAAGAAAAACUUUAUAUAGUUUCUUCUAUUCUCCUAACCCAUAUAUCUAUGGCUAACCUAAAAUGAAAAAAGAAAAAAAAAUGAAGCGAAACAAAAUUCAAGUUGCCCAGUUGGUAAGUUAGUGAUGCAUUAGGUUAUUCAUUAAGCUUAAUUAAUUAUAUAGUUUUGUUAUUGUAAGCAACUAAUUAACAAUACUACUAUAAACAUAGCUUUUUUAUUUUUUUUAUUUUAAACUAUGUUAUAUGUAUGAGAACAUGUUAGAAAUUAUUGUAUGUAUAUUUAUUUUCUUACGAUAAUGUAAUGGUUCCACCGCUCUAACACAAUAUUUCUUAACCCUAACUAAAAGAAUGAAAUUAGAUUGAGAUGCACGUGAAAGUCUCUAAUUCUUAUUAUAUUAUAUUAUAUUAUAUGGUUUUGCAUGAAGACCCAAUUACAAGAGCACACAUGAAUCAAUAAUUGUAAUAUAGUGUGGAAAAAUGUGUAGUGGGAAAGUUGGUCCAAUUGUAUACAAAAAAAAGAACAAAAGGCAUUUAAAUUUUAUGUUAUAUGAUUAAUAUAUGGAGGAAGGUAAGAAAAAAGUGAUGAUAAUUGAUAGGGACAAAAAUAUUAGAUUGAAUAAUUUAACAUAUAGUAGUACAUGAGAUGGCCCACACUAUUCAGAAAAGUUGUAAAACAAUAUACAUAGAAGAAAAAAGUUAGAAUAGGGACAAGACAUCUCAUUAAUAAGAGAUGGCCCUUAGAGUCAAUUUUCACUUAUUAAUAAAUAUGUUGCUAUUAUUUUAAAUAAAAAGAUUCAUGGAACUUGAAGUUUUGGGAGUUUCAAAUUAUGAAUAGCUCCCUUGAAAAACACACCUUAUCUAUCCAAUUUUAUUAUUGUUGUUUUCAUUUUCGAAUUAUAGAUUAUGCACUACUUGCAUUCCAAGCUUAAGAAUUUUAUAAAAUUUGUAAAAUAUAUAUUAUUUUCUAGUACCAUCUUUAAAGAAUUAUGUGUUUGCGUGUUUAAUUCCUUUUAAUGUAAUUUUAGAAAUGAGUUGUUUUGAAAUGUUUCAAAUGUUUCAACCAAUCCUAAAUUUUAGGUAUUAGAAAUUAAUUGAGAACAAAAUAAUUUAUAAAAUUUAAAUGAGUAUUUUCAAUCUUAAGGAGGUGUUUUACAUGGUGGAUAAAUAAAGUGUCUCACGGUUGAAUUAUUAUUAAUGAUGAAAGGCCCUUUAUGUAGGCAAUGAAUACAUAAAAAAUACAAAAGAUAUGUAGAGAGAUUAAAUUACAACUAUCGAGGAGUUAUAACAUAAUUGGUUAUUUUGUUACUCCCUGUCAAGAUGGAGUGAAAAUAUUGAUGAUUCCCAUCUUGGACAAUAUGUUUUGAAAGGUAGUAAUAGGCAACAGUUUAGUAAAGAUGGGGUUAUUUUGCAUUGGUUCGAAGUUGGUGGAAGAGUUUGUGGCUGAGCUAUUAGGAUAAGGAUAUCUCAUUUGAUGUGUUUGAUGGGUUUAGUAUGACUAGGUCAGGGAAUGGAUCUUGGAUUUCAGAGGCAUUACUGAUUUGAUGAAAUGGGAAUAGAUCUUCAUGGAAUAUGACAUCCCUUGAUAUGAAGAUUUUCUGGUGUUGAAUGUCAUACAGUUUUUGUAGCAUUUAACUUCUGGUGGAUAGCCUAUGAACAUAGAUGCAAUGGCACGAGGGUGAAAUUUGUCUCUAAAUUAUUGUAAAAUGGAUGCAAAGCAAAGGCAACCAAAGGUUUUUAGUGUGUUGUAGUUGGCAUUCGUGUCAUUAAGACUGUAUUAGGGCGUUUAACAUGACAGAAACUGAGAUGAGGUUCGAUUUAUUAAGUAGGCAACAAUAAAAACAUAUUCACCCACAAAAAGUCACAGGCAUUCGAGACUAAAAUAUUUAGGCUCACAUUACAUUUAGGAGGUGUUGAUGUUUUCUUUCAACAACAGCAUUUUGUUGUGGUCUUUCAACACAAGAAAAUUGGUGAACUACUUAUUUGAAAAGAAAAUAUUCCUCGAAGGAGAAUCCAGAGGCAUUGUUAGAUCUAAACGUUUUGAUGAUUCUUUUAUAUUGGGUUUGCACAUAUAUGUAAAAAAAAUUGGGGACUAUCUUCAAUGCAUCAUAUUUUCUUUUCAUAAAAAAAAAAAAAAAACCGUUAGAUCUCAAAUUAUUUAAUGAUUUGUAAUUUUAUUUGAGAGAUACGAUCACAUUUUGUAAUCGGUCAAAAUUUUCUUUUUUAAUAAUAUUAGUAUUUAUUAAUGUCAUAAUAUAUUGUUUAUAUUAAUUUCAUUUAAAGCAUUCUAUCUUCUUUAUGAUAAUUAGAAUAGACAUUUCCAUCUAUCAAAUUAAAAUUACGUACCCACUUUAUUUGACUAGGACACCCACCAAAACCACUUUGUAUUAUAGAAAAUUCAUUCCACCAUGUUUAUGUUAAAUUUCAUAUGAAUUUUAAUUCUUUUUUUUUUCAGCCUAAAUAUGUAUCAAUUUAAUUUAAACCUACUGUUAUAAGAG